Molecule: long non-coding RNA, 457 nt
Organism: Mauremys reevesii (Reeves's turtle)
Lineage: Eukaryota; Metazoa; Chordata; Testudines; Geoemydidae
Exons: 2
Source: RefSeq, a predicted model, not a curated record
AAUAGCCACGAAUCGCAGUUCAGACCACCCAGUGAACAGCUAAGUUUAAACUGUUCUUAUGCAGGCAGCAGGCUACCUGGGGAGGCUUCUCCCUCAGCCCGUCCCCCUGCUCCCUGCUACAAGCUAGAGGGGAGCCCCUGCAGCCCCUGCUGAGUGCGGGGGUCAAGGGAACAUGGAGCCUAGCGGCGUUGGACAGCCUGGCUGGAGGAAGAGGAGGGAGGACAAGGAGAAAAAUGUGACGUGCUGUCGCAUCAGUCUAUGAAGAAGAUUUGAGAUCACCAAGAAUUUGAGACAUGAGUGACUUGAGUAUUGUCUUGGAUUGAGCAGAUGGCUAGGACCAAGGAACUCCUGAAUUCUAAUCCCAGCUAUACCCUGACUUGUUUGGGCUCCUUUUGUGCCUUACUCCUUGUUAAUGGACACCGCAGAAAUGCAAACAAUAAAUAAAAAGUCAGUAUUU